Molecule: ribosomal RNA, 492 nt
Filed under: uncultured bacterium
Lineage: Bacteria
Description: partial 16S ribosomal RNA
Rfam family: Bacterial small subunit ribosomal RNA
Source: RNAcentral
AGUGAACGCUGGCGGUAGGCCUAACACAUGCAAGUCGAACGGCAGCACAGUAAGAGCUUGCUCUUACGGGUGGCGAGUGGCGGACGGGUGAGGAAUACAUCGGAAUCUACUUUUUCGUGGGGGAUAACGUAGGGAAACUUACGCUAAUACCGCAUACGACCUACGGGUGAAAGCAGGGGAUCUUCGGACCUUGCGCGAUUGAACGAGCCGAUGUCGGAUUAGCUAGUUGGCGGGGUAAAGGCCCACCAAGGCGACGAUCCGUAGCUGGUCUGAGAGGAUGAGCAGCCACACUGGAACUGAGACACGGUCCAGACUCCUACGGGAGGCAGCAGUGGGGAAUAUUUGACAAUGCGCGCAAGCCUGAUCCAGCCAUACCGCGUGGGUGAAGAAGGCCUUCGGGUUGUAAAGCCCUUUUGUUGGGAAAGAAAAGCAGCAGGUUAAUACCCCGCUGUUCUGACGGUACCCAAAGAAUAAGCACCGGCUAACUUCGUG